Molecule: ribosomal RNA, 784 nt
Filed under: metagenome
Description: bacterial SSU rRNA
Rfam family: Bacterial small subunit ribosomal RNA
Source: RNAcentral
GUGCUUGCACUCAGAUGACGAGUGGCGGACGGGCGAGUAACGCGUAGGAAUCUGCCUAUAAGAGGGGGACAACCAUUGGAAACGAUGGCUAAUACCGCAUAAUACCUUUGGGUCAAAAGUGGCUACUUGUAGCUGCUGCUUAUAGAUGAGCCUGCGUUAGAUUAGCUUGAUGGUGGGGUAAAGGCCUACCAUGGCUGCGAUCUAUAGCUGUUCUGAGAGGAAGAUCAGCCGCAUUGGGACUGAGACACGGCCCAGACUCUUACGGGAGGCAGCAGUGGGGAAUAUUGGACAAUGGGCGGAAGCCUGAUCCAGCAAUACCACGUGUGUGAAGAAGGCCUUAGGGUUGUAAAGCACUUUCAGAAGGGAGGAAGUGAGCUAGGUUAAGAGCUAGGUUUAUUGACGUUACCUUCAGAAGAAGCACCGGCUAACUCCGUGCCAGCAGCCGCGGUAAUACGGAGGGUGCGAGCGUUAAUCGGAAUUACUGGGCGUAAAGGGUUCGUAGGCGGUUAUAUAAGUCAGAUGUGAAAGCCCUGGGCUCAACCUAGGAACUGCACCUGAAACUGUAUAACUAGAGUAUAGUAGAGGAGAGGGGAAUUUCCGGUGUAGCGGUGAAAUGCGUAGAUAUCGGAAGGAACAUCAGUGGCGAAGGCGACUCUCUGGACUAAUACUGACGCUGAGGGACGAAAGCAUGGGUAGCAAACAGGAUUAGAUACCCUGGUAGUCCAUGCUGUAAACGAUGAGUACUAGCUGUUGGAUCUGGUGUAAAAGAUUUAGUGGCGCAGCU